Papilio machaon (common yellow swallowtail) is the source of this 84-nucleotide non-coding RNA. NCBI's taxonomy places the organism in Eukaryota, Metazoa, Arthropoda, Insecta, Lepidoptera, Papilionidae. The record is from Rfam.
GUCAGGUUGGCCGAGUGGUCUAAGGCGCCAGAUUUAAGCUCUGGUUCCCAGUUGGGAGCGUGGGUUCGAACCCCACACCUGACA